CCCCACAAGAACAAAUGUCUUGAACAUACUUGAUGUAGCACUGGGCAGCUUCUUCAUACUCAUUCAGCUGUUCAUGGAGUUUGGCUAGUUUUACCUAUG
Long non-coding RNA from Protopterus annectens (West African lungfish), 99 nucleotides. RefSeq lists it as uncharacterized. The transcript is spliced from 4 exons. Lineage: Eukaryota; Metazoa; Chordata; Ceratodontiformes; Protopteridae. The record is from RefSeq and is a predicted model, not a curated record.